Notothenia coriiceps (black rockcod) is the source of this 481-nucleotide long non-coding RNA. RefSeq lists it as uncharacterized. NCBI's taxonomy places the organism in Eukaryota, Metazoa, Chordata, Actinopteri, Perciformes, Nototheniidae. The record is from RefSeq and is a predicted model, not a curated record. The transcript is spliced from 4 exons.
CAGGUGAAACCGCAGCUUGCAGUGAGUCAAACAGCAGUGCAGCACCUGACUCUGAGUCCACUGCCACAGCAGAAGCAGCUGGAGUCAAUGAGGAAGAUCCCAACUCAAAUCCUUUCAGCACUUUUCCUGAGAUUGAGCCGUCGAAAGCAGCCAACAACUCAGGAGACAACGACGUUGUUGUUGUUACAGAUUUCUGCAAGAGACCGGCCCGGGUUCGUGUAAAAAACAAAUAUGCUUUGGCGAGAUCUCACGAGACGUUCCGCCUGCUGAGGAGGAAGAACCUGAUCGUGGAGGCGGUGCGCAACUUCAAAAUCAUCGAGGGUCUCUUCCCGCUGCAGAAGAUCAUUACUGACGACGACAAGAAGGAUGGAAUCAACACGAGGUGCUGCAAGAAGACUAUCGUACGCACCGUGGACAGCCUGUCCAGAGAAGGCUUACUAAAGGUUUACAAGACCACCAUCAUACAGGACGGGGUCACCAA